RNAcentral lists this ribosomal RNA (497 nucleotides) under uncultured bacterium. RNAcentral describes it as "partial 16S ribosomal RNA". It matches the Rfam family "Bacterial small subunit ribosomal RNA", at positions 30 to 523 of the family's 1533-position model. The record is from RNAcentral.
AUUGAACGCUGGCGGCAUGCCUACACAUGCAAGUCGAACGGUAACAGGUCUUCGGAUGCUGACGAGUGGCGAACGGGUGAGUAAUACAUCGGAACGUGCCUAGUAGUGGGGGAUAACGACUCAAAAAAGUGGCUAAUACCGCAUGAGAUCUACGGAUGAAAGCAGGGGAUCGCAGGACCUUGUGCUACUAGAGAUGCCGAUGGCAGAUUAGGUAGUUGGUGGGAUAAAAGCUUACCAAGCCGACGAUCUGUAGCUGGUCUGAGAGGACGAUCAGCCACACUGGGACUGAGACACGGCCCAGACUCCUACGGGAGGCAGCAGUGGGGAAUUUUGGACAAUGGGCGCAAGCCUGAUCCAGCAAUGCCGCGUGCAGGAUGAAGGCCUUCGGGUUGUAAACUGCUUUUGUACGGAACGAAAAGCCCUGGGUUAAUACCCUGGGGUCAUGACGGUACCGUAAGAAUAAGCACCGGCUAACUACGUGCCAGCCGCCGCCGUAA